Molecule: ribosomal RNA, 253 nt
Filed under: uncultured bacterium
Lineage: Bacteria
Description: partial 16S ribosomal RNA
Rfam family: Bacterial small subunit ribosomal RNA
Source: RNAcentral
UACGUAGGGUGCGAGCGUUGUCCGGAAUUAUUGGGCGUAAAGGGCUCGUAGGCGGUUUGUCACGUCGGGCGUGAAAUCCACCAGCUUAACUGGUGGUCUGCGUUCGAUACGGGCAGACUAGAGGUAUGCAGGGGAGAACGGAAUUCCUGGUGUAGCGGUGAAAUGCGCAGAUAUCAGGAGGAACACCGGUGGCGAAGGCGGUUCUCUGGGCAUUACCUGACGCUGAGGAGCGAAAGUGUGGGGAGCGAACAGG